AGUGAACGCUGGCGGUAGGCCUAACACAUGCAAGUCGAACGGCAGCACAGUAAGAGCUUGCUCUUACGGGUGGCGAGUGGCGGACGGGCGAGGAAUACAUCGGAAUCUACUUUCUCGUGGGGGAUAACGUAGGGAAACUUACGCUAAUACCGCAUACGACCUACGGGUGAAAGCAGGGGAUCUUCGGACCUUGCGCGAUUGAAUGAGCCGAUGUCGGAUUAGCUAGUUGGCGGGGUAAAGGCCCACCAAGGCGACGAUCCGUAGCUGGUCUGAGAGGAUGAUCAGCCACACUGGAACUGAGACACGGUCCAGACUCCUACGGGAGGCAGCAGUGGGGAAUAUUGGACAAUGGGCGCAAGCCUGAUCCAGCCAUACCGCGUGGGUGAAGAAGGCCUUCGGGUUGUAAAGCCCUUUUGUUGGGAAAGAAAAGCAGCAGGUUAAUACCCCGCUGUUCUGACGGUACCCAAAGAAUAAGCACCGGCUAACUUCGUG
RNAcentral lists this ribosomal RNA (492 nucleotides) under uncultured bacterium. RNAcentral's name for it is "partial 16S ribosomal RNA". It matches the Rfam family "Bacterial small subunit ribosomal RNA", at positions 29 to 507 of the family's 1533-position model. The record is from RNAcentral.